This 400-nucleotide ribosomal RNA is filed under the name uncultured bacterium. RNAcentral's name for it is "bacterial SSU rRNA". It matches the Rfam family "Bacterial small subunit ribosomal RNA", at positions 355 to 754 of the family's 1533-position model. The record is from RNAcentral.
UGGGGAAUCUUGGACAAUGGGGGCAACCCUGAUCCAGCGAUGCCGCGUGGGUGAAGAAGGCCUUCGGGUUGUAAAGCCCUUUAGGUAGGGAAGAAGUUACUACGAGAGUAGUGAUUGACGGUACCUACAGAAUAAGCACCGGCAAACUCUGUGCCAGCAGCCGCGGUAAUACAGAGGGUGCGAGCGUUAAUCGGAGUUACUGGGCGUAAAGGGCGCGUAGGCGGAUAUUGCAGUGUGAUGUGAAAUCCCUGGGCUUAACCUAGGCAGUGCAUUGCAGACGCAAUAUCUGGAGUAUAUGAGAGGGUGGCGGAAUUUCCGGUGUAGCGGUGAAAUGCGUAGAGAUCGGAAGGAACGUCGAUGGCGAAGGCAGCCACCUGGCAUAAUACUGACGCUGAGGCGC